UACGUAGGGGGCGAGCGUUGUCCGGAAUUAUUGGGCGUAAAGCGCGCGCAGGCGGUUUUUUAAGUUCGUGGUGAAAGACCGGGGCUCAACCCCGGAGCGUCCGCGAAGACUGGAAGACUGGAGUGUCGGAGAGGAGUGCGGAAUACCUGGUGUAGCGGUGGAAUGCGUAGAGAUCAGGUGGAACACCGAUGGCGAAGGCAGCACUCUGGCCGAAUACUGACGCUGAGGCGCGAAAGCGUGGGGAGCAAACAGG
This 253-nucleotide ribosomal RNA is filed under the name uncultured bacterium. RNAcentral describes it as "partial 16S ribosomal RNA". It matches the Rfam family "Bacterial small subunit ribosomal RNA", at positions 524 to 776 of the family's 1533-position model. The record is from RNAcentral.